AGUGAACGCUGGCGGUAGGCCUAACACAUGCAAGUCGAACGGCAGCACAGUAAGAGCUUGCUCUUACGGGUGGCGAGUGGCGGACGGGUGAGGAAUACAUCGGAAUCUACUUUUUCGUGGGGGAUAACGUAGGGAAACUUACGCUAAUACCGCAUACGACCUACGGGUGAAAGCAGGGGAUCUUCGGACCUUGCGCGAUUGAAUGAGCCGAUGUCGGAUUAGCUAGUUGGCGGGGUAAAGGCCCACCAAGGCGACGAUCCGUAGCUGGUCUGAGAGGAUGAUCAGCCACACGGGAACUGGGACACGGUCCAGACUCCUACGGGAGGCAGCAGUGGGGAAUAUUGGACAAUGGGCGCAAGCCUGAUCCAGCCAUACCGCGUGGGUGAAGAAGGCCUUCGGGUUGUAAAGCCCUUUUGUUGGGGAAGAAAAGCAGCAGGUUAAUACCCCGCUGUUCUGACGGUACCCAAAGAAUAAGCACCGGCUAACUUCGUG
RNAcentral lists this ribosomal RNA (492 nucleotides) under uncultured bacterium. RNAcentral describes it as "partial 16S ribosomal RNA". It matches the Rfam family "Bacterial small subunit ribosomal RNA", at positions 29 to 507 of the family's 1533-position model. The record is from RNAcentral.